RNAcentral lists this unclassified non-coding RNA (265 nucleotides) under fungal sp. RNAcentral describes it as "partial internal transcribed spacer region". The stretch from base 1 to 46 matches the Rfam family "Eukaryotic small subunit ribosomal RNA", at positions 1786 to 1831 of the family's 1831-position model. The record is from RNAcentral. Lineage: Eukaryota; Fungi.
AAGUCGUAACAAGGUAUCUGUAGGUGAACCUGCAGAUGGAUCAUUAAAGUAUUUUGUGGCAACACAACAAUACCCUGUAAACAACGAGUGAGGAGGAAAGGGAUGAUGAAACGAAUGGGAUGAAUGGGACGAAAGUUCCUUUUAUACUCUUUAAUUCUGAAUCUCGGUUCUCUUUAUUAAACUCUGGACUGAAUAUUAUUACAACUAGACACUUAACAAACAAACCAAUACCAUAUAACCUUUAACAAUGGAUCUCUUGGUUCCU